Molecule: long non-coding RNA, 342 nt
Organism: Priapulus caudatus
Lineage: Eukaryota; Metazoa; Priapulida; Priapulimorpha; Priapulimorphida; Priapulidae
Exons: 3
Source: RefSeq, a predicted model, not a curated record
UCUUUCUGUUUUCGGACUUAGCCUCUCUGGCUGCCCCAUCGCUGCAGCAAGCAAACAGAAGGGAUCGCCGAACGACAAGAAAGGAUCUCCUCCGAAAAAGAUUCGACGAGAGGUUUCGACGUCGGAAUGUGACGAGGUGGCGACAGACGACGACAAUGACUGGAUCCGAUCACAUUUUAUCCCAUGGACGGACCGCGUCUUGCGGCCAAUGUGCUACAUCAAGCAGCUAGAGCUGGACUACGCUGCCGCGAGCGCCGGCGCGGCCGGUUACCACGACAACGGCAACGGCGGCUACCUUCCGCAGGCGACGCCGCGCACAAACCUCGCUCGGGAGCUGGAGAA